CAGGUAUAUUCCAUCUACCACAUCAGAAAAAUGUCCUAUGUUUUUGUAAAUGAUUCUUCUCAGACUAAUGUGCCCUUGCUACAAGCCUGUAUCGAUGGAGAUUUUAAUUAUUCCAAGAGGCUUUUGGAAAGUGGCUUUGACCCAAAUAUCCGUGACAGCAGGGGCAGAACAGGCCUUCACCUCGCAGCAGCCCGAGGGAAUGUAGACAUCUGUCAGUUACUGCAUAAAUUUGGUGCUGAUCUUCUGGCAACAGAUUAUCAAGGAAACACAGCUCUUCACCUCUGUGGCCAUGUGGAUACGAUUCAAUUUCUAGUUUCCAAUGGACUCAAAAUUGAUAUUUGCAAUCAUCAAGGUGCUACCCCCUUAGUUCUGGCAAAGCACAGGGGAGUGAAUAAAGAUCUCAUCCGAUUGCUGGAAUCUUUGGAAGAACAGGAGACAAAAGGACUUAACAGAGGAACCCACUCAAAACUGGAGAUCAUGCAGACAGCUGAGAGUGAAAGUGCCAUGGAAAGCCAUUCUUUCCUCAAUCCCAACCUGCAGCAAGGCUUAGGCUUCCUUUCCAGUUUUCGAACCACAUGGCAGGAGUUUAUGGAGGAUUUGGGCUUCUGGAGGGUGUUGCUCUUGAUCUUUGUCACCGCUCUGCUGUCUCUUGGCAUUGCCUACUAUGUGAGUGGGGUGCUGCCAUUCGUGGAAAACCAGCCUGAACUGGUACAUUAAGGGAGCUCAUGGGCGAUGAGGCAGUUGCCCGUUUCCUGGCUUCAAGUACUUUUUCUCAGUUUCUCAAAAUUCUUAGUGCAAGGCAGUGAGGGCUGUACAUUUUUCUUUUUGCCUUUGUACUUAUUGUAAUCCUUUUAGAUAAUGGUGUGUCCAUUUGAACUAACUACAUACUAUAAUCAAGUAUACUGCAUCCUGACGCUACCUCUGACUCAACCUGACUUCGUAGGAAAACCUACACAUAGCCUUGUUUGACAAAAUCACGGAAAUGACUAGAGGAUGG
RNA transcript from Carlito syrichta (Philippine tarsier), 997 nucleotides. It is a transcript of the gene named ankyrin repeat domain-containing protein 46 pseudogene, with no coding region annotated. The transcript has a single exon. The record is from RefSeq and is a predicted model, not a curated record. NCBI's taxonomy places the organism in Eukaryota, Metazoa, Chordata, Mammalia, Primates, Tarsiidae.